Molecule: long non-coding RNA, 5356 nt
Organism: Macaca fascicularis (crab-eating macaque)
Lineage: Eukaryota; Metazoa; Chordata; Mammalia; Primates; Cercopithecidae
Source: Ensembl
UUUUUUUUCUUUUAUAGAGAAGGGGUUUCGCUAUGUUUCCCAGGCUGGUCUCUAAUUAUUGACCUCAAGUGAUCCGCCCACCGUGGCUUCCCAAAGUGCUGGGGUUACAGGCGUGAGGUUAUAGGCCGAGCCCUUAAAUUAUUCAAAGCUAAAGUUCUAGUCCCAAGACCCCUUGUUAAGUCCAAAAGUCCUCCAGUACCUGAAAUACCUCACAGCUGCUAGGCUUUAUGGCUGUUGUCAGACAGUUCAAACACAAAUAGAGCCAAAUAUCCUGCCAGCCAGCACUGACCUGCUCCCAAGAAUCAUGUGUUAUGGUUUCCAUCACACUCAGCCAUCAAGUCCUGUUUGAACUUGUCAUCCCCGCAAACCAUGUGACUGCUGGCACCUACCUGGGUCACAUGUGCCUCUUCCCUUGGGACACAGCUUUUUGCAAAAAGGCCACAGCCACUUGCUAAGAUGAGUCAGAAGUUCCCCAAAUCUCCUGACACAACUCAGGGGCAAAGAGAAAGGGACAGCAAACAGGCCCAGCAGGGGCUGUCUAGCCAUGACAUAAGAAGCCAGCACAUAUCUUUAGAGAAGCCUUCAGCUCCGAAUCCCAACCUGCUUCACAAACACGUGGGGCAAGCUCCAGAGAUGGCAUUUCCACUGGUGAUGACAGGAACUGGACCAAACACCACAAUCCGCCUGGAUACUCUUGACGUUCAGUACAUUCACAGAAGCUUCCUUGACCACUCCUGGGCCCAGGGACCCUGUCAGGCCAAGGAGCUGGUUCCCAGAAAGGGGAAGAUUCUGACAAGCAGAGUAUUUUCUCUCUGAGCAGGUGUGGUUCCUCACUGAAACAGGAAUCCUCUGUGUUCCACAAGCGAGACACAGAACAAACAGUGCCCCAGGCCAGAGAACUGAGGCCAGACCUGCUUCCCAGGUGACCCCAGUGUCCACACAAUAAAUGCCCCUGUGGGAUGGGGACCAUCCACCUGCCUCUUUGCACACACUAGUCCCCUGGCCAUUCUCCUGCGAAGGCCUCAACCUCCCAAAGCCCUUUAAAAGAUACCAUUUUUUCCAUCCCCCUUUAAUUGUCUUGAGCCAAUGGGGACAGGUUCAGACUCCGUCCCUGAUUACUUUGGUGGGUAAAUCCCCUGCUGCUCAGCCGAGGAGGGCUCUCAGUAACCUUGGUCCAGCCAUCCAGUUCCCCACAGCCCCGGUGCCACGAAGAGCCUGGCUCCCCCACCCCCUGCCAGGCCCUUGACUUUCAGCCAAGCGUACCUGCUCACUCUUUUCCUGUGCUUUCCUGCACGCAUGCUUUGAUUCCAACUUUUAAAAGGCCUGGCUCACGGGCUCACACCUGUAAUCCUGGCACUUUGGGAGGCCGAGGCCGGAGGAUCUCUUGAGCCCAGGAGUUCGAGACCAGCCUGGCCAACAUAGAGAGACUCGCAUCUCUACAAAAAAAAUUAAAAUUAAAAGAUUAUUGGGGCCGGGCGUGGUGAUUCAUGCCUGUAAUCCUAGCACUUUGGGAGGCUGAGGCGGGCAGAUCAUCUGAGGUCAGGAGAUGGAGACCAGCCUGGCCAACAUGAGAAACCCCAUUUCUACUAAAAAUACAAAAAUAAUCCAGGUGUGAUGGCAGGCACCUGUAGUCCCAGCUACUUGGGAGGCUGAGGCAAGAAAAUCGCUGGAACCCGAGAGGCAGAGAUUGUAGUGAGUCGAGAUCAUGCCACUGCACUCGAGCCUGGGCAACAAAGCAAGACUCCCUCUCAAAAAAAAAAAAGAUUAUUGGGUGUGGUAGUGCGUACCUGUAAUGCCAGCUACUUGGGAGGCCGGGGCAAGAGAAUUCAUUGAGUGCAGGAGUUUGAGGCUGCAGUGAGCCAUGACAGUGACACUGCACUCCAGCUGGGGCAACAGAGUGAGACUCUGUCUCUUAGAAAAAAAAAAAGUAGGAAAGAGAGUUUUUACAUACCCUUCAUCCAGCUUCUCCUAAUGUUAAUGACUUACAUACUCAUAGUACAAUAAUCAAAACCAAGGAAUUAACUCUGGAAUGAUACUAUUUCACCAGAUUCUCCACUAAUGUCUUUUUUUUCUGUUUCAACAUUCAAUCCAGGAUCCCUCACUGCCUUUAUCCUCAUGUGUCCUGCAAGCUGAGACAGUUCCUCUGCGUUUUCUUGUCCUUCAGGACCCUGACAAUUUGGAAGAGUCCUAGUCAGGUAUUUUGUAAGUGAUCCCUUAACUUGGGUUCAUCUGAUGUGUUUUCUUACCGUUAAACUGAGGUUAUACAUUUCUGGCAAGAUUCCCAAAGAGAUGACGUGCCCUUCUCAGUGCAUCAUAUAAGAAAGUAUAUGAGGAAACUGAGGCCCAAGAGCUUAAAUAAUUUCCUCAAAGGCAAAUGGCUAAUAAUGGACAGAGCUGGUACUCAAGUUUGCACAACUAAAAAGGCAUUGGUCUUUUUACCUUUCCCUGUUGCCUUCCAGAGCACAGAAACCAUACUUUAAGCAACAUACUGGUUAUGUAAUACAUGAAACACAGUAUUCUACAUUAUUGCAGGUACAAUAUGAAUAUACAGGCCAGGCGCGGUGGCUCAUGUCUGUAAUCCCAACACUUUGGGAGGCCAAGUAGGGUGGAUCAUUUGAGGUCAGGAGUUCAAGACCAGCCUGUCCAACAUGAUGAAACCCUGUCUCUACUAAAAAUACAAAAAUUAGCCAGGCAUGGUGUCGUGUGCCUAUAAUCCCAGCUACUAGGGAGGCUGAGGCAGGAGAAUCUCUUGAGCCUGGGAGGUGGAGGUUGCAGUGAGCUGAGAUGGCAUCACUGCACUCCAGCCUGGGCGACAGAGUGAGACCCUGUCUUUAAAAAAAAAAAAAAAAAAAGUACAUGAUGUUGAUUUAUCUUACCACUGGUGAUGCUAAUCUUGAUCAUUUGGCAAAAGUGAUAUCUUCCAGGGUUUUCCACUGUAAUCUCAUUCUUUUCCCCCUUUAUAAUUAGAAAAUAUUUGAGGGGAGAUGCUUUGACACUAUGUAAAUAUCCUAUUUCUCCCUUUUGCCCUCUAACUUACCAUUCAUCAGCAGAUCUUUCUACGGCAAUUAUUACUGUUAUAUUUUAAGGGUGAUCUUCCAUUUCCUUCUUAUUCAAUAGAAGAAAAGUAACGGGUAACUAUUGUGUAUAAAUAGGGUGUCCACGUGAUUUGUCAUUCAAACCAGGACACUUUUGAAAGUGAAAGAAGGUACUAUUAAUAACUACAGUAUGGCAACAAGCAUAAGUUUGUCCUGGGAAAACUGGGAUGCACAGUCACUCUAUGUGUAAAAUCAAAUCUCCAGCUCAAAACAACAGAAACUGGUCAACAUUUACUGAAAGUAUCUGUAUCUUCAAGAAAGUCAACAGCAAUCUUUGGUGGGGUUUUGUGGGGAAAUAGAUCACCUUAUGGCUGAGUUAAAUGUGCAAAGGAAUAGAAACUGCUGGCUUGUGGAAGAUAAUUGUGAAAGACAAUCAAGGGCUAGGAAGCAAAAGCCAUAAGCAGCCUAAUAUACAAGAAAUAAUCCCCCUCUUCCAAACAAGAGAGAAUGCAAACCUGCCUGUGAACCAGCUGGACAGUACUUGUCCCUGCGAAAGGGACUAUGUCGCAUAAACUCAUUAGUCUUUCAGACCCUAAACACUUUCUUCUCUCAUGUCAAGGCCAAUUUUGAGUAUUCUGUUUAAUAAUUUCCUUCACACAUCUAGUCACUUAGAUCAUUUCCUUUUAGAAGACACUAAGCCACGAAGAAGGUAAAAUGGGGAAUCUCACCAGGGAGGGUGUGUUCCCUGGAAGGUCGUUCUCCUAUAUUUAUUUGGAAAAGGUUUCAGACCCCAGCAUCUGCCCAAGCUGUCUCCAGUUGGUCUGUAGUGGGCAACACCUCUUUGGCACAAAGUCAUGACCCAGUAUUAUUUUUUCCCAUUCUACCAAGGAGGAAAUGGAGCCUUUGUGAGGGGCAAAGGAUCUGUUUAAAUUCCUGACUUGACGCAGUAAGCGGCCAGAGUGGAGAUUACUCAUGCUGCAGCUAUGGGCCUCCUCUUUCAACUUUAAUGGGAAUAGUCAACAUCCUAUUAUUUGAAUGUUUAUCCUGGGUUCAUAUUAUUUCACACAGGGAAAGGCAUUUAAUGGUAGAAAUAUUUUCAAACCUAAAAAGCUAAAAGAGAGGAAAAUCUUCCACAUAUCCAUACUGGAAACAAUGGCCUGGAAGAAACCUGUACAGAGGAUGAGAGAUUAUUUGAUAAAUCUGUUACCUUAUGUGGAAAGCCAUAGUGUCUAUGAAUAAUAAUUUCCAGCUCAGAGGAUCUGACGAGUGCUUCAGUUAGACCCUGCCCCCAGAGUGCUCAACAUAAUGAUUAUUUUUCUUGUUGUUGUAAAUAUUAAUAAGCAACAACUGUAGCCUAACACUGUGGAGAAAACUUAAAAACUAGUGAUACAAAGCAGAGUAACAACUUCAGAAAUGAUUCCUUGCUUUCCUGGAGCUAUUCAAGAUAGAGUCCACAGGGCAUCCAAAUAGUCAUUUCAAGGAAUUAUAAUCAUAAAAGCUUCCAGUUAAUGAAUUUAGAGGAAAUGGUAGAAUUCGGCCAGGCACAGUGGCUCACGCCUGUAAUCCCAGCACUUUGACCGAGGCAGGCAGAUCACCUGAGGUCAGGAGUUCAAGACCAGCCUGGCCAGCAUGGCAGAAACCCAUCUCUCCAUUCAAAAUACAAAAAUUAGCUGGGUGUGGUGGCGUGCGCCUGUAGUCCCAGCUACUUGGGAGGCUAAGGCAUGAGAAUCACUUGAAGCUUGAACCCAGGAAGCGGAAGUUGCAGUGAGCUGAGAUCAUGCCAGUGCUCUCCAGCCUGGGAGACCGAGACUCUGUCUCAAACAAAAAAAAAAAAAAAAAAAAGAAGAAGAAAUGGUAGAAUUAGAAUAUCGCCAUUAUGUAACCCUCAUGAAAUAAUGACAAUAACAAUGGUCAUCAAUGGCUGCUAAUACACAAAAGGCAAGUGGACAUCAUGUGCUUCUCACCCUAUCUAUUCACAGAAUACUAUAAAGUAUUCUUGACAAAGACUGGACCCAGGCUGGGCGCGGUGGCUCAAACCUAUAAUCCCAGCCCUCGGGAGGCCAAGGCAGGUGGAUCGCCUGAGGUCAGGAGUUCGAGACCAAUCUGGCCAACAUGGUGAAACCCCAUCUCUACUAAAAAUACAACAGUUAGCUGGGGGUGGUGGCAGGUGCCUGUAAUCCCAGCUACUCAGGAGGCUGAGACAGGAAAAUUGCUUGAACCGGAAGGCGGAGGUUGCAGUGAACCGAGAUCAUGCCACUGCACUCCAGCCUGGGGGACAAGAGUAAGACUCCAACUCCAAAAAAGAAAAAAAAAAAAAAAAA